GAUGAACGCUGGCUACAGGCUUAACACAUGCAAGUCGAGGGGAAACGACGGGGAAGCUUGCUUCCCCGGGCGUCGACCGGCGCACGGGUGAGUAACGCGUAUCCAACCUGCCUCUGACUGAGGGAUAACCCGUCGAAAGUCGGCCUAAUACCUCCUGGUAUCGUCUGCGGGCAUCCAACGACGAUUAAAGAUUUCAUCGGUCAGGGAUGGGGAUGCGUCUGAUUAGCUUGUUGGCGGGGUAACGGCCCACCAAGGCUACGAUCAGUAGGGGUUCUGAGAGGAAGGUCCCCCACAUUGGAACUGAGACACGGUCCAAACUCCUACGGGAGGCAGCAGUGAGGAAUAUUGGUCAAUGGGCGAGAGCCUGAACCAGCCAAGUAGCGUGCAGGAAGGCGGCCCUAUGGGUUGUAAACUGCUUUUAUGCGGGGAUAAAGUGAGGGACGUGUCCCUCAUUGCAGGUACCGCAUGAAUAAGGACCGGCUAAUUCCGUG
Molecule: ribosomal RNA, 491 nt
Filed under: uncultured bacterium
Lineage: Bacteria
Description: partial 16S ribosomal RNA
Rfam family: Bacterial small subunit ribosomal RNA
Source: RNAcentral